ACACUCCUACGGGAGGCAGCAGUGGGGAAUUUUGGACAAUGGGCGAAAGCCUGAUCCAGCCAUGCCGCGUGCAGGAUGAAGGCCUUCGGGUUGUAAACUGCUUUUGUACGGAACGAAACGGCCUUUUCUAAUAAAGAGGGCUAAUGACGGUACCGUAAGAAUAAGCACCGGCUAACUACGUGCCAGCAGCCGCGGUAAUACGUAGGGUGCAAGCGUUAAUCGGAAUUACUGGGCGUAAAGCGUGCGCAGGCGGUUAUGUAAGACAGUUGUGAAAUCCCCGGGCUCAACCUGGGAACUGCAUCUGUGACUGCAUAGCUAGAGUACGGUAGAGGGGGAUGGAAUUCCGCGUGUAGCAGUGAAAUGCGUAGAUAUGCGGAGGAACACCGAUGGCGAAGGCAAUCCCCUGGACCUGUACUGACGCUCAUGCACGAAAGCGUGGGGAGCAAACAGGAUUAGAAACCCCAGUAGUCCCAUG
RNAcentral lists this ribosomal RNA (475 nucleotides) under uncultured organism. RNAcentral's name for it is "partial 16S ribosomal RNA". It matches the Rfam family "Bacterial small subunit ribosomal RNA", at positions 333 to 799 of the family's 1533-position model. The record is from RNAcentral.